UUCUCUUCUUUCCUUUCUCUUUCUCGGUAUGUUCUCUCCUCUCUAACUCCGCCUUAACCAAAACCCUCUUAUAACAAAUUCUUGUUCAUAACCCUAAAAAUCCUUGAAUCCUUGUUAAUCUUUGAAUAAAAAACCAAUCUAAAAUCAAAGAAAAACCUCUAAUUGAAACAUUCAUAACCCUAAAAUUUUGAUAUUGUCCCUGAAAUAAAAAAAAAAAACCUUUUUCUGUGAUAAUAAUUGUUCUUCGAUCUGUUAGCCAACGAUUGAGGCAAAAGAAGAACUAAUGAACAAGAAGAAGACUAUUGGAGCUUCAAAAAUGAUGAAUAGAAGUGCAAACCCUAUCGGUGACGUUUGGCAAGACGAUUGAUGAAAUGCAUACAGCUGGAAGACCAAACUAGUGCUGAUAAGAGAAAGCUUCAUGUAAACCUAGUGCUUUCAAAAGGAAAUCUGAAUCAAAAAAUCUGGUUGCCCACAACAAAAAACAAAAUUAUAGAUGGAACAUAUCUACAACUGCAUGUCUGCAUUAGAAAAGUUGGUUCUUCUAUCAAAUUUAUUUAGAUUUUUCCAGAAACCGAGCUAAACAAAGACUUCUACAACCAAAACAUCUAAAGAGAAGUGAGUAUUUCUUCGUUCUGUACGCAUUUUAUAGGUACUACUCAAAGGUAACUGAUAGAAGAUGGUGAAACAUUGAAGUGGAAAGUUUUGGAGCAAGUUGAUGAAAAGCUGAUGAAAAGAGAUAUAAAAGCAGCAUUGAGUCUUGUGGAGUUGGCGGGAAACCUGGUGGUCUUUGUUGCUUUGGCACAGCAAGGCAGGUAACUUUUUUAAUCCGUUCUUUUUUUCCCAUCGGUUGGUGCAUUCUAUCAAUUGUUAGAACCAUAGAUCAUAGUUCUUGAGUUGGUUCCUUAUUAGCACUUCUAUAGUAUGAAUGGUGGAGGAUGGAUCAAUUUUGUUGUUGCUGUUCUUAUGUAGUUGCAUGCUUCUGAUGUCAUUUAUAACCAUGAUGCAUCCUCUAGUGUGUUAUUAUACAUGUUUUGCCGAGGGAAGACAGAAUAGGUGACUGGAGGAAUCCUAAAAUAGAUCCUUCUGCAUGAGUUGUGUAAAACAUAUAUAGAAGGGAUCUACGUCGUGGUUCCUGUUGAUGAAAACUAGGUAGGUCGGUGUCAGGUUUCACAUGUUGAUAAAAAAUCUAGUUCCUUUAAUUGCGGUCUUUGUUGAUGAUGGAUUGUUUCCAUUGAAUUCUGAUUGCCAAUGCACACUUGUUUGAUUUCUACCAUUGGAGAGUAAGUUGUAGCAUUUGGAAAUGGUUGUUUUGUUUGUGUUUAAUUGCAUUGCGGAUCUAGACCUUGGAUGAGCUUAAGCUGAAUGAGAUUGAUCCUUCAGCAAUUCUUUCACAUGUUUGAUGGGACUGUGAGUUCAUUUGAAAGGUAACUUCAACUUGCUGCUAUUUUAGGAUAUAAUUCACAAAAUUACAUAGAUUCUUCAUCGUUCUUUCACUAAUGGGAUCAAAGAUCCCACUAUUAGAAUACAAUUCACAAAACUCACCAUGUGAUAUGCAUCUUGCAAAUUUUUAUAGAUAAUUUGUUUUGUCAAUCAAAUUCGAAUUUGUAAAUUUGCUGUCGUACUUCGCAGGUUGAUUCUGGAAAGUUUGGUCCAGUUUCCUUUGGUGUUUUUGCAUUGCUGGUUACUGCUGAAGCUGGGGAAAUAGUUAUGAUCAGGGUCAACUCUUAGUAAAAGUAGGCUAUUUGUUGUAUUUUCCCAGGUGAUCAGCUUUCUAAUUUGAAAGAUUGCUGAUACUUUUGGGCUCAAAAUACUUGAUAUGAACACGGAUUUGUAGUUUCACCAACAAUUUUUUUUAUAAAUUUGCACUUAAGAAUUUGAA
Molecule: long non-coding RNA, 1879 nt
Organism: Papaver somniferum (opium poppy)
Lineage: Eukaryota; Viridiplantae; Streptophyta; Magnoliopsida; Ranunculales; Papaveraceae
Exons: 8
Source: RefSeq, a predicted model, not a curated record